GAUGAACGCUAGCGGCAGGCUUAACACAUGCAAGUCGAGGGGUAUAGUAGCAAUACUAGAGACCGGCGCACGGGUGCGUAACGCGUAUGCAAUCUACCUUUUACAGGGGAAUAGCCCAGAGAAAUUUGGAUUAAUGCCCCAUGGUAUUAUCGAGUGGCAUCAUUUGAUAAUUAAAGUUCCAACGGUAAAAGAUGAGCAUGCGUCCUAUUAGCUUGUUGGUAAGGUAACGGCUUACCAAGGCUACGAUAGGUAGGGGUCCUGAGAGGGAGAUCCCCCACACUGGUACUGAGACACGGACCAGACUCCUACGGGAGGCAGCAGUGAGGAAUAUUGGACAAUGGGCGCAAGCCUGAUCCAGCCAUGCCGCGUGCAGGAAGAAGCAUCUAUGGUGUGUAAACUGCUUUUGUACAGGAAGAAACACUCCCUCGUGAGGGAGCUUGACGGUACUGUAAGAAUAAGGAUCGGCUAACUCCGUG
This 476-nucleotide ribosomal RNA is filed under the name uncultured bacterium. RNAcentral's name for it is "bacterial SSU rRNA". It matches the Rfam family "Bacterial small subunit ribosomal RNA", at positions 28 to 507 of the family's 1533-position model. The record is from RNAcentral.